UAGGGAAUCUUCCACAAUGGACGCAAGUCUGAUGGAGCAACGCCGCGUGAGUGAAGAAGGUUUUCGGAUCGUAAAGCUCUGUUGUUUUUGAAGAAGGAUAGAGGCAGUAACUGGUCUUUAUUUUACGGUAAUCAACCAGAAAGUCACGGCUAACUACGUGCCAGCAGCCGCGGUAAUACGUAGGUGGCAAGCGUUGUCCGGAUUUAUUGGGCGUAAAGCGUGCGCAGGCGGAAUGAUAAGUCUGAUGUGAAAGCCCACGGCUCAACCGUGGAACUGCAUCAGAAACUGUCAUUCUUGCGUGCAGAAGAGUAGAGUGAAUUUCCAUGUGUAGCGGUGGAAUACGUAGAUAUAUGGAAGAACACCAGUGGCGAGGGCGACUCUCUGGUCUGCAACUGACGCUGAGGCUCGAAAGCAUGGGUAGCGAGCAGG
Molecule: ribosomal RNA, 429 nt
Filed under: bacterium
Lineage: Bacteria
Description: partial 16S ribosomal RNA
Rfam family: Bacterial small subunit ribosomal RNA
Source: RNAcentral